CAACACAAUGUCAUGGGCUUCUUUUUUGCCUGCCUGAUCCUUAUGGAUGUUCAUGUGACGUCGGUGCCCAUGGUCUAACAUGUAACACACUAUGUACUGUCGGUACAUAUGGUCCAGGAUGUUCACAGACAUGUCACUGCACAGGCGGUGGUUCAUCAUGUGAUAUCUAUACUGGAAUAUGUACAGGUGGAUGUCAGACUGGCUGGUCUGGGGAGAACUGUCAAAUUCCAGAUGAAUGUGAAGCCGGUUACUAUGGAUCUCAAUGCACUGAUAAAUGUCAUUGCUUGAAUGAUGAACCAUGUGAUAAACAGACUGGAGAGUGCCCUGAGCAGAAGUGUGCUCUAGGAUACAAAAUACGCAAUGGCGGGGUCCAAU
This is a long non-coding RNA of Strongylocentrotus purpuratus (purple sea urchin), 375 nucleotides long. RefSeq lists it as uncharacterized. NCBI's taxonomy places the organism in Eukaryota, Metazoa, Echinodermata, Echinoidea, Camarodonta, Strongylocentrotidae. The transcript has 3 exons. The record is from RefSeq and is a predicted model, not a curated record.